This 492-nucleotide ribosomal RNA is filed under the name uncultured bacterium. RNAcentral describes it as "partial 16S ribosomal RNA". It matches the Rfam family "Bacterial small subunit ribosomal RNA", at positions 29 to 507 of the family's 1533-position model. The record is from RNAcentral.
AGUGAACGCUGGCGGUAGGCUUAACACAUGCAAGUCGAACGGCAGCACAGUAAGAGCUUGCUCUUACGGGUGGCGAGUGGCGGACGGGUGAGGAAUACAUCGGAAUCUACUUUUUCGUGGGGGAUAACGUAGGGAAACUUACGCUAAUACCGCAUACGACCUACGGGUGAAAGCAGGGGAUCUUCGGACCUUGCGCGAUUGAAUGAGCCGAUGUCGGAUUAGCUAGUUGGCGGGGUAAAGGCCCACCAAGGCGACGAUCCGUAGCUGGUCUGAGAGGAGGAUCAGCCACACUGGAACUGGGACACGGUCCAGACUCCUACGGGAGGCAGCAGUGGGGAAUAUUGGACAAUGGGCGCAAGCCUGAUCCAGCCAUACCGCGUGGGUGAAGAAGGCCUUCGGGUUGUAAAGCCCUUUUGUUGGGAAAGAAAAGCAGCAGGUUAAUACCCCGCUGUUCUGACGGUACCCAAAGAAUAAGCACCGGCUAACUUCGUG